UACAGAGGUCCCAAGCGUUGUUCGGAUUUACUGGGCGUAAAGGGUGCGUAGGCGGUCGGGUAAGUCUGAUGUGAAAUCUCCGAGCUUAACUCGGAAAAUGCAUUGGAUACUAUUCGGCUGGAGAGUUGGAGGGGGGACUGGAAUACUUGGUGUAGCAGUGAAAUGCGUAGAUAUCAAGUGGAACACCAGUGGCGAAGGCGAGUCCCUGGACAACUUCUGACGCUGAGGCACGAAAGCUAGGGGAGCAAAC
This 250-nucleotide ribosomal RNA is filed under the name uncultured bacterium. Its description in RNAcentral is "partial 16S ribosomal RNA". It matches the Rfam family "Bacterial small subunit ribosomal RNA", at positions 524 to 773 of the family's 1533-position model. The record is from RNAcentral.